RNAcentral lists this ribosomal RNA (253 nucleotides) under uncultured bacterium. Its description in RNAcentral is "partial 16S ribosomal RNA". It matches the Rfam family "Bacterial small subunit ribosomal RNA", at positions 524 to 776 of the family's 1533-position model. The record is from RNAcentral.
UACGUAGGCAGCGAGCGUUGUUCGGAGUUACUGGGCGUAAAGGGCUCGUAGGUGGCCAACUAAGUCAGACGUGAAAUCCCUUGGCUUAACCGGGGAACUGCGUCUGAUACUGGAUGGCUUGAGUUUGGGAGAGGGAUGCGGAAUUCCAGGUGUAGCGGUGAAAUGCGUAGAUAUCUGGAGGAACACCGGUGGCGAAGGCGGCAUCCUGGACCAACACUGACACUGAGGAGCGAAAGCCAGGGGAGCAAACGGG